This 408-nucleotide ribosomal RNA is filed under the name uncultured bacterium. RNAcentral describes it as "partial 16S ribosomal RNA". It matches the Rfam family "Bacterial small subunit ribosomal RNA", at positions 28 to 526 of the family's 1533-position model. The record is from RNAcentral.
GACGAACGCUGGCGGCGUGCCUAAUACAUGCAAGUCGAGCGAAGCGGCGGUUGGGUGAGUAACGCGUGGGUAACCUGCCCUUAAGUCUGGGAUACAAUUUGGAACCAGAUGCUAAUACCGGAUCCUAAAGGAUUGACUUGGGAGGCAUUAGCUAGGUGGUAAGGUAACGGCUUACCAAGGCGAUGAUGCAUAGCCGGGUUGAGAGACUGAUCGGCCACAUUGGGACGGAGACACGGCCCAAACUCCUACGGGAGGCAGCAGUAGGGAAUCUUGCACAAUGGACGAAAGUCUGAUGGAGCAACGCCGCGGGAGUGAAGAAGGUUUUCGGGUCGUAAAGCUCUGUUGUUGGUGAAGCGGUACUCGAACAGAAAGUCACGGCUAACUACGUGCCAGCAGCCGCGGUAAUUC